RNAcentral lists this ribosomal RNA (446 nucleotides) under uncultured bacterium. RNAcentral's name for it is "partial 16S ribosomal RNA". It matches the Rfam family "Bacterial small subunit ribosomal RNA", at positions 331 to 792 of the family's 1533-position model. The record is from RNAcentral.
CCAGACUCCUACGGGAGGCAGCAGUGGGGAAUAUUGGACAAUGGGGGGAACCCUGAUCCAGCGACGCCGCGUGAGUGAAGAAGUAUUUCGGUAUGUAAAGCUCUAUCAGCAGGGAAGAAAGAAAUGACGGUACCUGACUAAGAAGCCCCGGCUAACUACGUGCCAGCAGCCGCGGUAAUACGUAGGGGGCAAGCGUUAUCCGGAUUUAUUGGGUUUAAAGGGUGCGCAGGCGGCCUGUUAAGUCAGCGGUAAAAGCCGGGGGCCAACCCCCGGCGAGCCGUUGAAACUGGCGGGCUGGAGUUGGAGAGAAGUACGCGGAAUGCGCGGUGUAGCGGUGAAAUGCUUAGAUAUCACGCAGAACUCCGAUUGCGAAGGCAGCAUACCGGCGCCCAACUGACGCUGAAGCACGAAAGCGUGGGUAUCGAACAGGAUUAGAUACCCGCGUA